CCUACGGGCGGCAGCAGUGAGGAAUAUUGGUCAAUGGACGAGAGUCUGAACCAGCCAAGUAGCGUGAAGGAUGACUGCCCUAUGGGUUGUAAACUUCUUUUAUAAAGGAAUAAAACGAGGCACGUGUGCCUUUUUGCAUGUACUUUAUGAAUAAGGAUCGGCUAACUUCGUGCCAGCAGCCGCGGUAAUACGGAGGAUCCGAGCGUUAUCCGGAUUUAUUGGGUUUAAAGGGAGCGUAGAUGGGUUGUUAAGUUAGUUGUGAAAGUUUGCGGCUCAACCGUAAAAUUGCAAUUGAUACUGGCAGUCGUGAGUACAGUUGAGGUAGGUGGAAUUCGUGGUGUAGCGGUGAAAUGCUUAGAGAUCACGAAGAACCCCGAUUGCGAAGGCAGCUUACUAAACUGUGACUGACAUUGAUGCUCGAAAGUGUGGGUAUCAAACAGGAUUAGAUACCCCGGUAGUC
Molecule: ribosomal RNA, 460 nt
Filed under: uncultured bacterium
Lineage: Bacteria
Description: partial 16S ribosomal RNA
Rfam family: Bacterial small subunit ribosomal RNA
Source: RNAcentral